GUCUACAGCCAGUAGCUCAGUAGUGUUGGGCCUGGCCAGUACUUAAAUGUGAGACCAGCUGGGAAUACCAGGUUUUGUAGGCU
Molecule: ribosomal RNA, 83 nt
Organism: Cercocebus atys (sooty mangabey)
Lineage: Eukaryota; Metazoa; Chordata; Mammalia; Primates; Cercopithecidae
Source: Ensembl